GCUGGGGUGGUGAAAUUGGUAGACACGCCAGCCUUAGGAGCUGGUGCCGCAAGGCAUGGAGGUUCAAGUCCUCUCCCCAGCA
Molecule: transfer RNA, 82 nt
Filed under: Candidatus Kaiserbacteria bacterium RIFCSPHIGHO2_02_FULL_49_11
Lineage: Bacteria; Candidatus Kaiseribacteriota
Description: tRNA-Leu
Rfam family: tRNA
About the family: Transfer RNA (tRNA) molecules are approximately 80 nucleotides in length. Their secondary structure includes four short double-helical elements and three loops (D, anti-codon, and T loops). Further hydrogen bonds mediate the characteristic L-shaped molecular structure. tRNAs have two regions of fundamental functional importance: the anti-codon, which is responsible for specific mRNA codon recognition, and the 3' end, to which the tRNAs corresponding amino acid is attached (by aminoacyl-tRNA synthetases). tRNAs cope with the degeneracy of the genetic code in two manners: having more than one tRNA (with a specific anti-codon) for a particular amino acid; and 'wobble' base-pairing, i.e. permitting non-standard base-pairing at the 3rd anti-codon position.
Source: RNAcentral